RNAcentral lists this ribosomal RNA (1776 nucleotides) under Triticum aestivum (bread wheat). Its description in RNAcentral is "partial small subunit ribosomal RNA". Lineage: Eukaryota; Viridiplantae; Streptophyta; Magnoliopsida; Poales; Poaceae. The record is from RNAcentral.
AUGGGAGAAGUCGCCGCCGAGCUGCUGUACAACAUGGCGCCGCUGGCCCUGUCCGGUGCCGGUGCCGGUGCCGGCGCCGAGGUCGGCAGCUGCGCGCCCCUGCUCGCGGAGCUCAGGCAACUGUGGGGGGAGAUAGGCAAGAGCAGGGAGGAGAGGGAGCGGAUGGUGCACGAGCUGGAGGCGGAGUGCACGCGGGUGUACCGCCGCAAGGUCGACGAGGCCACCGGCGAGCGCGCGCUGCUGCACCAGUCGCUCGCCGCCAGCGAGGCCGAGAUCGCCGCCCUCACCGCCGCCCUCGGCGCCGAAAACUCCACGCAGUUCAAGGUGAACAAAUGGACCGUGUCCCUGAACGAGCGGGUGUCAUCGGCAACGGCUCUGCUGGAAGAGCUGCGGGCGAUGAGAGCAGAACGGAGCAAGCAGUUCUCUGACAUCCGGUCGGAGAUCGAGAAGAUCAGCGCUGAAAUCGCAGGGCGGAGCCACGGCCAGGACAACUCCCCCAGGGCCGGCGACGCCCAUGACCUGACCAUCAGGAGGCUCAACGACUACAGGGCACGCCUGUCCACUCUUCAGAAAGAGAAGUCGGAGCGUCUGCACAAGGUGCUCGAGCACGUGACGGAGGUGCACUCGCUGUGCGACGUGCUGGGCGAGGACUUCAUCGCCAUGCUCACCUCCGAGAAGGCCAAGCGAGCAGCCAUGCUGCGGGAAGCCGUGGUGCCGCUGGUGGAGCUGUGGGAUCUCAUGGACUCGCCCGUGGAGGAGCGGCGGGGCUUCCAGAAGGCGGCGGCCGUCCUGAGGCCCGCCAAGGAGGAGGUCCUGUCCUCCGGCGUGCUGUCCAUGGCGAGCAUCAAGAGGACGGAGGAGGAGGUGGAGAGGCUGACGAGGCUCAAGGCCGGCCGGAUGAAGGAGCUGGUGCUCAAGCGCAGGCUGGAGCUGGAGAACAUCUGCCGGAGCAUGCACGUCGAGCCCGACGCCAGCACCGUGCCCGAGAAGUCCAUCGCGCUCAUCGACUCCGGCCUCGUGAACCCUUCUGAGCUGAUGGCCAGCAUCGACGACCAGAUAGCCAAGGCCAAGGAGGAGCAUCAGUCGAGGAAGGACAUCAUGGAGAAGAUCAACAAGUGGCUGCUGGCCUGCGAGGAAGAGAAAUGGCUCGACGACCACAACGUGGAUGAGAACAGGUUCAGCACCGGCAGGACUGCACGUCUGAACCUCAAACGCGCCGAGAAAGCCAGGGUCAUCAUCAUGAAGAUUCCAGCUAUUGUUGAUAACCUGAUGAGUCGAACGCUGGCAUGGGAGAGCGAAAGAAAGAAGCCUUUUCUGUACGACGGGGCUCGCCUGGUGGCCGUGUUGGAGGAGCACAAGCAAGCCAGGCUGCGGCAGGAGGAGGAGAGGAGGCGACUCCGGGAGCAGAAGAAGCUGCGCACUCUGUUCAGCGAGAAGGAGACGAUGCCGCGCCUCAAGAGGCCCAGCGGCAGCGGCGGCGGCGGCUUCAGCAGGACGCCGGACCCGAGUAGCAUGAACCGGAAGAGGGUCGACGCCGGCAGGCUCACGUGCUCCGCGCCGUCGAUGCGCAGCAGCAGCAGCGGCUCCAGCGGCGGCGGAGGCCGUUCCUCGGCCGAGCUCGACCGGCCGCGGUCGUCGGCGGCCGGGGCCGGGCGCUGCGGCGAGCUCCUGCAGGGCGCGCGGCGCCUGUCGGCAGCGUCGGCGUCGUCGUUCAACUACGUCGCCGUGGCCAAGGCGGGCGGCAGCAUGUCCUCGUCGCUGGCGUCGCUGUCCUGA